CAAAUUAAAACUAAUAUUUAGUAUUUCAUUUACAUUGAAUUUUUAAUUGUAUAAAUCAAUUUAAUUUGA
RNAcentral lists this transfer RNA (69 nucleotides) under Nyctiophylax orbicularis. Its description in RNAcentral is "tRNA-Val". Lineage: Eukaryota; Metazoa; Arthropoda; Insecta; Trichoptera; Polycentropodidae. The record is from RNAcentral.